Molecule: non-coding RNA, 391 nt
Organism: Camellia sinensis
Lineage: Eukaryota; Viridiplantae; Streptophyta; Magnoliopsida; Ericales; Theaceae
Source: RefSeq, a predicted model, not a curated record
AUAUUAAACCCAAUUUCAUUUGGUUUCCCUAUGAUCCAUUUUGUAUAUAAAAAACCAUUUUGUAUAUAGACUUUGUACAUUGGGAGAGUCACAAAUCCAUGUCUCCAUAUCAUCCCCUGUUGCAUUUUUUUGUUUAAAAGCUUUAAGAGUUUACUUGACAGAGGAAAAGGAAGAACGAUGAGCGGUGACAUAGUCAUGGAAUCAAAAGCAUUUCCUAUGAAUGGUGGAGAUGGCACCUACAGUUACACAAAAAAUUCUCAGUAUCAGAGAACAGCUUCAGAUUCUGUAAAGGAAAUGAUCAAAGAUGCAAUUGUUGACAAGUUUGACAUAACAAGCCUCAGUUUCAGUUCAAACACUAUCCGAAUUGCAGAUUUGGGUUGUUCUGUUGGGU